RNAcentral lists this ribosomal RNA (436 nucleotides) under uncultured bacterium. Its description in RNAcentral is "partial 16S ribosomal RNA". It matches the Rfam family "Bacterial small subunit ribosomal RNA", at positions 29 to 507 of the family's 1533-position model. The record is from RNAcentral.
AGCGAACGCUGGCGGCAGGCUUAACACAUGCAAGUCGAGCGGGCAUCCUUGUGGUGUCAGCGGCAGACGGGUGAGUAACGCGUGGGAACGUGCCCUUCGGUUCGGAAUAACUCAGGGAAACUUGAGCUAAUACCGGAUACGUGCGAGAGCAGAAAGGUUUAUCUGCCGAAGGAUCGGCCCGCGUCUGAUUAGCUAGUUGGUGAGGUUACGGCUCACCAAGGCGACGAUCAGUAGCUGGUCUGAGAGGAUGAUCAGCCACACUGGGACUGAGACACGGCCCAGACUCCUACGGGAGGCAGAGUGGGGAAUAUUGGACAAUGGGGGCAACCCUGAUCCAGCCAUGCCGCGUGAGUGAUGACGGCCUUAGGGUUGUAAAGCUCUUUUCUCCGGGACGAUAAUGACGGUACCGGAGGAAUAAGCCCCGGCUAACUUCGUG